RNAcentral lists this ribosomal RNA (492 nucleotides) under Klebsiella pneumoniae. Its description in RNAcentral is "bacterial SSU rRNA". It matches the Rfam family "Bacterial small subunit ribosomal RNA", at positions 1051 to 1533 of the family's 1533-position model. The record is from RNAcentral. Lineage: Bacteria; Pseudomonadati; Pseudomonadota; Gammaproteobacteria; Enterobacterales; Enterobacteriaceae.
GUCGUCAGCUCGUGUUGUGAAAUGUUGGGUUAAGUCCCGCAACGAGCGCAACCCUUAUCCUUUGUUGCCAGCGGUUCGGCCGGGAACUCAAAGGAGACUGCCAGUGAUAAACUGGAGGAAGGUGGGGAUGACGUCAAGUCAUCAUGGCCCUUACGACCAGGGCUACACACGUGCUACAAUGGCAUAUACAAAGAGAAGCGACCUCGCGAGAGCAAGCGGACCUCAUAAAGUAUGUCGUAGUCCGGAUUGGAGUCUGCAACUCGACUCCAUGAAGUCGGAAUCGCUAGUAAUCGUAGAUCAGAAUGCUACGGUGAAUACGUUCCCGGGCCUUGUACACACCGCCCGUCACACCAUGGGAGUGGGUUGCAAAAGAAGUAGGUAGCUUAACCUUCGGGAGGGCGCUUACCACUUUGUGAUUCAUGACUGGGGUGAAGUCGUAACAAGGUAACCGUAGGGGAACCUGCGGUUGGAUCACCUCCUUACCUUAAAGAA